AGGAGACAAAUUAGCAUAGGAAAGAAUAGAUGAAAGGGGAUGAAGACUACCUGAUGAAGAGUGAUUGGUUGUAGCAGCUAAAUGACAAUGAUAAUCCUGCAAGUAUUGAGGUGGCCUCUUUAACUUAGUAAACUGCCUCAAAGGAACAGAAAUGGAAAAAGGAGGAGAAGAUAGCAAAGAGGAAGGUGGUUGAGAAACAGGUUCAGAAGGGGGAAAAGAUGAAGAAAAAAUGUCAAAGGAAGAAAAAAUAUUAUCUUGAGGCAAAGAAGGUGAAGAUUGAAAAGGUGGUGAUAGAAAGGAAACAAAUGCUCAUAAAAGAAAACAUGUCUAGAUACAAAUAUAUUUCUAUUGUGAAGAUUUAAAAGAACAAAUCCCUUAUUACCUGGUUUGUAUCGAAGAAACACACACUUGUGAGCUCUAUGAUCAAACUUAUUUUUGCCAACAGAUAGAGUGGAAGCAUGACAAAGUGAGCAAAAAACUUUUAGAUCUUGAAAAGUAGGUGAAGAAGAAUAUAAAAGUUCGAAAGGAGUCUUGUUUUGUAUAACUGGAGAAGAAAGUCUGUUAAUAAG
Molecule: unclassified non-coding RNA, 569 nt
Filed under: Hevea brasiliensis (rubber tree)
Lineage: Eukaryota; Viridiplantae; Streptophyta; Magnoliopsida; Malpighiales; Euphorbiaceae
Source: RNAcentral